AGGUUUCAUGUCCUUCAUGGAGAGGUACGAAUGAAGCCGGGCAAGGUAACAAAAAUAAUUCUGGCAUGUGUAGUAUUGCACAAUCUCGCUAAGGCAUGGGGUGAGAGGGAGGCAUUCCCAGAGGAAGAAGACCCUCAACCUCCACCACUUGUCCAGCUUGAGGGUAACCCUGACGGGCAGGCUAUCAGGGAUGCAAUAACUGCAAACUAUUUCAGAUGAAGACGGACGGACAUUACAAGGCACCAUGGGUGACUUGAUCUAUGUAUGGCGUAAUAGUAUUCAGACUGAUGUACGGACAUAGACAAAACAAGUCUUAAAAAUGUGUGUUCAUUUACAUCUGAUAAAGACAAAACAAGUCUAUAAAAUGUGUGUUCAUUUACAUCUGAUAAAGACAAAACAAGUCUAUAAAAUGUGUGUUCAUUUACAUCUGAAAAAGACAAAACAAGUCUUUAAAAUGUGUGUUCAUAAAUAUAUAGUUUAAUAAUUUUGAA
This is a long non-coding RNA of Dreissena polymorpha, 491 nucleotides long. RefSeq lists it as uncharacterized. The transcript has 3 exons. NCBI's taxonomy places the organism in Eukaryota, Metazoa, Mollusca, Bivalvia, Myida, Dreissenidae. The record is from RefSeq and is a predicted model, not a curated record.